This 1499-nucleotide long non-coding RNA is filed under the name Gallus gallus (chicken). RNAcentral's name for it is "long non-coding RNA NONGGAT003330". The record is from RNAcentral. Lineage: Eukaryota; Metazoa; Chordata; Aves; Galliformes; Phasianidae.
GCCGGCAGAGCAAAUGCAAUGUUCCCCUACACCCACCCCCAUCCAUCUCCCUCUGGAUGCUCACGGGACACCCCUGCACCCCCAGCCCCAUUGGGUGCUGGACCCCCACAGGUGACCACACAACCCUUCCAUGCCGCCCUGUGCCACAGGGCUCAGCUCACCCUUCGUUAGUGUGAUCACAUCACCACUGACAGCAGCGUAUUUAUUACUGGCCCGGCGCUGACCAUUUCUCACCCAGUGACACACAACCUGCUAACGAGCUCGGCGAGGUAAUGAGGGCUCUCGGGCAAGGGCAUCUGCUGCUCCCCCACCCAGAUGGGACCCAGCACUGUGAGGGUUUUGCUCCCACACCCCUUCGAGCCUGCACUGCCCCCAGGCAACAACCUGCACCACUGCUGCGAAACAUCAACGUGUCCACCAGCCGCUGUUUAUGUAGGACCUACAGUAACACAGCGUGCUUAGAGUUCAUCCCAAGGCAGGAAUCAGCCACAUCAAGGAUCAGCUCCAGGCUGGGACAAGGCAGCACCUCAGGCUUUGUGGCCUCGGGGAGCUGAUGGAGUGGAGAUGGGACCAGCACUGCACAGCCCCACAAGCACAGCCUCCUGCACCCUGCAGGGGACAAGGACACCACUUGUAAAGGCUCAUGAAGCCAGAGCCAGGGUCAUUCCUCGUCACACCUGUACACUCCACUUUCCUUCCUGAGCCGGAGCUUUGCACGAGGCCAGCAGCUAGCGUGGCAGCCGAGCUCACGGCGAAGGGGGAGGAAGAAAAAGCCACUCCGGCGGUCCCAAGGCUUGAUGAUGGACACCAGCCCUGAGGAUGCUUUCACGGAUAAAGACACCUUCACAAAGCCAAGGGAACCACUGCCCUUGGUCACACCCCGGGAAGGGGCAGGGACCCGUCCCCUCCAGCCCUGCUCCACGGCACACGCAGACGUGCCCAGGGACCACACGUGGCUGCCAGAAGGCUCUGUACCUCCCACGCCAGCCCCUAAUAAGCCUCUUUGGCUGAAGCUGCCCAUCUCAGGCCCCUGCCCCAAAUCCCGUCUGGAACCUUAAGCCUCCCAAAUCCCUCCUGGGACUUGAUGCAGCCUCCUCAAUCCCAUUAUGGGCGCUGUGCUGGUGCAGGGGGUCCUGGGCUGUGCCCCCAGCCCCAGCUGAGGGAAAACCGUGCCUCUGGGGGGCACAAAAUCUGCAGAACAAAGCAAGGGGAGGGAGGAAUGGGAACAGCACCCCCAGCUCCUGGGAACCCUCUGCUGUCUCACCGUUCUGCGAGGGUCGCACUGCGACAGCUCCAACCCACACCGCAUUCAACUCCGGGUAAUUAGCGCGAGGCCCCUAAUCAAUAAGUUAUUUUUUGCCGUGGGUAAUUAAUAAUUACACAGCGCAGGCAGGCUGUAAUUAAACUUCCAUCCCAUCUCUCCCCAGCGGUGCUAGAGUCUUUGUUUUAGCAACUGCAGGUAUUAAAAGUGUUUCAUCCUGUGCCUGGGGAGCCCGCGC